Molecule: ribosomal RNA, 84 nt
Filed under: Hyphomicrobiales bacterium
Lineage: Bacteria; Pseudomonadati; Pseudomonadota; Alphaproteobacteria; Hyphomicrobiales
Source: RNAcentral
AUCCCAUCCCGAACUCGGCCGUUAAACUCCUCAGCGCCAAUGGUACUUCGUCUCAAGACGCGGGAGAGUAGGUCGCUGCCAGGC